Long non-coding RNA from Lucilia cuprina (Australian sheep blowfly), 404 nucleotides. RefSeq lists it as uncharacterized. NCBI's taxonomy places the organism in Eukaryota, Metazoa, Arthropoda, Insecta, Diptera, Calliphoridae. The record is from RefSeq and is a predicted model, not a curated record. The transcript is spliced from 3 exons.
CUUUUUCCUUCGACUUCUGGAGUGACAGCAUCAAAUGCUCGGGUAAUAAAGUUAUAAUUUUAAAUCUUAAAAAUUUCCUUAAAUCCUCGUGGAGCUUUAGGAAUUUUGUUUAAAAUUAUCCUUCUCAGGAUCUAAUCCAUGGUAAAUUUUUGACCAAUAUCGAGGAUCACCAGAAACCCAUUUUAGCCACACCUCGUGGACAGUUCCACACAAUCGCCAUACCUGUGGCAUUGAUGGAGUAAACCAUCCUUAUUAAGACCUCCAUAGUUCUCGAAAUUUUAGAGAAAAGGCUCUUGGAACCGUUUUAACGCAACCCGUAAGGCACGUUUCCAAGAAUCCUUCUCUCUAAGAAGAGUUUGUUUGGGGUAUAAAAACAUUCUAUGAAUGAUCCCACCCAAAUUGCC